GACGAACGCUGGCGGCGUGCUUAACACAUGCAAGUGGAGCGACGAACCAGGGCUUGCCCUGGGGCAGAGCCGCGAACGGGUGAGUAACACGUGGGUAACGUGCCCCGAUGAUCGGGACAACCCGGGGAAACCCGGGCUAAUACCGAAUGUGCUCCCCUCACACCAGUGAGGGAUGGAAAGGAAGCUUCGGCCUCCGCAUCGGGAUCGGCCCGCGGCCCAUUAGCUUGUUGGUGAGGUAACGGCUCACCAAGGCUGCGAUGGGUAGCUGGUCUGAGAGGACGAUCAGCCACACUGGGACUGAGACACGGCCCAGACUCCUACGGGAGGCAGCAGUGGGGAAUCUUGCGCAAUGCGCGAAAGCGU
Molecule: ribosomal RNA, 363 nt
Filed under: uncultured bacterium
Lineage: Bacteria
Description: bacterial SSU rRNA
Rfam family: Bacterial small subunit ribosomal RNA
Source: RNAcentral